RNAcentral lists this ribosomal RNA (424 nucleotides) under Halomonas sp. CA2-2I. Its description in RNAcentral is "bacterial LSU rRNA". It matches the Rfam family "Bacterial large subunit ribosomal RNA", at positions 56 to 474 of the family's 2925-position model. The record is from RNAcentral. Lineage: Bacteria; Pseudomonadati; Pseudomonadota; Gammaproteobacteria; Oceanospirillales; Halomonadaceae.
ACGGGACUAACACCGAUAUGUCCCGGGGAGUCGUAAGUAGACGUUGAUCCGGGAAUUUCCGAAUGGGGGAACCCACUGUUCGUAAUGGAGCAGUACUUCUAUCUGAAUACAUAGGGUAGAGGAGGCAUACCCGGGGAACUGAAACAUCUCAGUACCCGGAGGAAGAGAAAGCAAACGCGAUUUCCUGAGUAGCGGCGAGCGAAACGGAAUUAGCCCAAACCAGAAGGCUUGCCUUCUGGGGUUGUAGGACACUCCAUUGGAGUUACCAAGAAAUUCUUUAGAUGAAGCGAUCUGGAAAGAUCCGCCAUAGGAGGUAAGAGCCCUGUAAUCGAAAGAGAAUUUCCUCCGGAGUGGAUCCUGAGUACGGCGGAACACGUGGAAUUCCGUCGGAAUCCGGGAGGACCAUCCUCCAAGGCUAAAUACU